This is a non-coding RNA of Cajanus cajan (pigeon pea), 361 nucleotides long. The record is from RefSeq and is a predicted model, not a curated record. NCBI's taxonomy places the organism in Eukaryota, Viridiplantae, Streptophyta, Magnoliopsida, Fabales, Fabaceae.
GUUCUAUAGAAGAAACUAGCUCGCAGCACCGCAAGUUGGGGCUUCCUCUUCUCUCUUCUCCGCAAAUGCAAUUCCCCGAACUCAUAUACACAUGAUUUGCACCAACAAUUGUUUUGAAGAAUCGAAGGGCAACUUCUGUGACUGAGUGCGACCAAAGUCACAGCCACUAAAUUUGAUGGAUUCUGAAACUUCGAGGCGGUGGUGGGCUAUAGAGGAAGGGAGAAAGAUGUGGAAACUUGCUGCCAUGAGGAGGUGGGGGUGGAGACUUGUACACAUAUGGAGGAGGUGGUGAAGGAGAUGGAGGUGGAGGAGACUUAUAGACAUAAGGAGGAGGUGGUGAAGGAGAUGGAGGGGGAGGAGA